This 493-nucleotide ribosomal RNA is filed under the name uncultured bacterium. RNAcentral describes it as "bacterial SSU rRNA". It matches the Rfam family "Bacterial small subunit ribosomal RNA", at positions 28 to 526 of the family's 1533-position model. The record is from RNAcentral.
GACGAACGCUGGCGGCGUGCUUAACACAUGCAAGUCGAACGGGAUAUAUUCGGGAGUAAUCCUGGGUAUAUCUAGUGGCGGACGGGUGCGUAACGCGUGAACAAUCUGUCCCCUCGAGGGGGAUAACAUCUGGAAACAGAUGCUAAUACCGCAUGGGACCACGAGACCGCAUGGUCUUGAGGUGAAAGGGCUUCGGCCCGCGAGAGGGUGAGUUCGCGUCUGAUUAGCUAGUUGGUGGGGUAACGGCCCACCAAGGCGACGAUCAGUAGCCGAUCUGAGAGGAUGACCGGCCACACUGGAACUGAGAAACGGUCCAGACUCCUACGGGAGGCAGCAGUGGGGAAUAUUGGGCAAUGGGCGAAAGCCUGACCCAGCAACGCCGCGUGAGGGAAGAAGGUUUUCGGAUCGUAAACCUCUGUCGCAGGGGACGAGUAGAUGACGGUACCCUGUGAGGAAGCUCCGGCUAACUACGUGCCAGCAGCCGCCGUAAAAC